Thamnophis sirtalis is the source of this 1510-nucleotide non-coding RNA. The record is from RefSeq and is a predicted model, not a curated record. NCBI's taxonomy places the organism in Eukaryota, Metazoa, Chordata, Lepidosauria, Squamata, Natricidae.
GUGUGAGUUGCCCCAGGUCAGGUCCUCUUUUAGGAUAACACCCAGGAACUUAAAACUGGCCACUUGCUCCACUUGGUCUCUCUUGAUAAGCAAGGAUGAUGUCUGAUCUAUUCCUUCUAUAGUCCACUGUAAGCUCCUUGGUCUUAUUGGUGUUAAGGACUGAGGUUUUUCUUGAGUGCCACUGGAAAGAUUUGUAAUUUUGUAAUUUUAAUAGAUUUGUAUGCCGCCCAAUCCCGGAGGACUCCGGGAGGCUUACAUAAAAGCAAUUAAAAUAUUAAAAAGAUUAAAAACACCAAAACAAUACAGUUUAAAACAGGAAAACACAGCAUGCACUCAAUUAUAAUGGGGCUGAAGUUCAGUCAAGCUCAACAGCCCCAGGCCUGCCGAAACAGCCAGGUCUUAACAGACUUACGAAGGCCAGGAGAGUGGGGAGUGUCCGGAUCUCAGGUGGUAGCUCGUUCCAAAGGGCCAGGGCAGCAACAGAGAAGGCUCUCCCCUGGGAAGCCACCGGAUGGCAUUGUGUGGCUGACGGUACCCGGAGAAGGUGGAGACAGUACACGCCCUGUGCGAUCUUAUUGGACGCUGGGAGGUAUGUUGCAGGAGGUGGUCACGGAGAUAUCCAGAUGCAUUCCAAAGGGUUAAUAAAGGUAAUUUAACAAUGCCUUAAGUCAGGGGUGUCAAACUCGUGGCAUCACGGUGGCGUCACAUGACGUAUCGGGACUUUUUCCCCCUGCGCUAAACCGGGCGGGGCCAGCACAUGACACAUCCGGGCUGCGAGUUUGACAGCUGUGCCUUAAGUGAAAUUUAGGAGUUUAGGACACUAAAGAACAUGCCCAACUGGAAAAGUAAUUGCUGCUUGAGGUUUUAUUGUCGCCAUCUAAAGUUGUAGUCUAAUUCACGAUAGUUGUCUGUUAAGCUGAAAUAUAGCUAACAGGGUAGAUCUUAACAAUGAUUGACUACAAAUUUAAAGAAAGGAAAUCUAAGUCCCUAUUGAAACUCAAUGAAUCCAUUACCGGUAGCUGAGAAAUUUUUAGAAGAAAUUAGAAUAGAACAGUGUUUCCCAACCUUGACAACUUUUAAGAUAGGUGGACUUCAACUCCCAGAAUUGUUGUCUGGGGAAUUCUGUAAGUUGGAAGUCCACAUAUAUUAGUUACUACGGUUGAGAAAUACAAAUGGAAUAAAGAAAAAUGGGGAAGGCUGGUAGACCAAUGCCAUUUUAUUAUUAUUUUGGUCUUUUAAUGGUUCUACCCAGAUGUAAAUAUAUGUUAAAAUGAUUAUUUAAGAAUGAGUCCUGACUUAUAUGUGACAAUGAACAACUUUUCACUGCAACUAUGAAUGAGAUAAAAGUUUGAUUUUUCUUAACUGUUGUUGUUCAGAAUGAAGGUCUGUUUUGUUUUUUGUUUUUUAAAAGGAAGAAUGUAAUAUAGUGGCUGCUUAUUCAUAUUGUGCAAUAUUCAAUCAAUGCUGUGGAAUUAAUCCUAGUGCCUAAUAAAAUGUAGGUUGGAAGAGG